Molecule: ribosomal RNA, 254 nt
Filed under: uncultured bacterium
Lineage: Bacteria
Description: partial 16S ribosomal RNA
Rfam family: Bacterial small subunit ribosomal RNA
Source: RNAcentral
UACAGAGGUGGCAAGCGUUGUUCGGAAUUACUGGGCGUAAAGGGCGCGUAGGCGGUCUUCUAAGUCUUGUGUGAAAUCCCUCGGCUCAACUGAGGAACUGCACGGGAUACUGGAAGACUUGAGUUCGGGAGAGGGAAGCGGAAUUCCGGGCGUAGCGGUGAAAUGCGUAGAUAUCCGGAGGAACACCGGUGGCGAAGGCGGCUUCCUGGACCGAUUACUGACGCUGAGGCGCGAAAGCUAGGGGAGCAAACGGG